GAUGAACGCUGGCGGCGUGCCUAAUACAUGCAAGUCGAGCGAACGGACGAGAAGCUUGCUUCUCUGAUGUUAGCGGCGGACGGGUGAGUAACACGUGGAUAACCUACCUAUAAGACUGGGAUAACUUCGGGAAACCGGAGCUAAUACCGGAUAAUAUUUUGAACCGCAUGGUUCAAAAGUGAAAGACGGUCUUGCUGUCACUUAUAGAUGGAUCCGCGCUGCAUUAGCUAGUUGGUAAGGUAACGGCUUACCAAGGCAACGAUGCAUAGCCGACCUGAGAGGGUGAUCGGCCACACUGGAACUGAGACACGGUCCAGACUCCUACGGGAGGCAGCAGUAGGGAAUCUUCCGCAAUGGGCGAAAGCCUGACGGAGCAACGCCGCGUGAGUGAUGAAGGUCUUCGGAUUGUAAAACUCUGUUAUUAGGGAAGAACAUAUGUGUAAGUAACUGUGCACAUCUUGACGGUACCUAAUCAGAAAGCCACGGCUAACUACGUGCCAGCAGCCGCGGUAAUACGUAGGUGGCAAGCGUUAUCCGGAAUUAUUGGGCGUAAAGCGCGCGUAGGCGGUUUUUUAAGUCUGAUGUGAAAGCCCACGGCUCAACCGUGGAGGGUCAUUGGAAACUGGAAAACUUGAGUGCAGAAGAGGAAAGUGGAAUUCCAUGUGUAGCGGUGAAAUGCGCAGAGAUAUGGAGGAACACCAGUGGCGAAGGCGACUUUCUGGUCUGUAACUGACGCUGAUGUGCGAAAGCGUGGGGAUCAAACAGGAUUAGAUACCCUGGUAGUCCACGCCGUAAACGAUGAGUGCUAAGUGUUAGGGGGUUUCCGCCCCUUAGUGCUGCAGCUAACGCAUUAAGCACUCCGCCUGGGGAGUACGACCGCAAGGUUGAAACUCAAAGGAAUUGACGGGGACCCGCACAAGCGGUGGAGCAUGUGGUUUAAUUCGAAGCAACGCGAAGAACCUUACCAAAUCUUGACAUCCUUUGACAACUCUAGAGAUAGAGCUUUCCCCUUCGGGGGACAAAGUGACAGGUGGUGCAUGGUUGUCGUCAGCUCGUGUCGUGAGAUGUUGGGUUAAGUCCCGCAACGAGCGCAACCCUUAAGCUUAGUUGCCAUCAUUAAGUUGGGCACUCUAAGUUGACUGCCGGUGACAAACCGGAGGAAGGUGGGGAUGACGUCAAAUCAUCAUGCCCCUUAUGAUUUGGGCUACACACGUGCUACAAUGGACAAUACAAAGGGCAGCGAAACCGUGAGGUCAAGCAAAUCCCAUAAAGUUGUUCUCAGUUCGGAUUGUAGUCUGCAACUCGACUACACGAAGCUGGAAUCGCUAGUAAUCGUAGAUCAGCAUGCUACGGUGAAUACGUUCCCGGGUC
Molecule: ribosomal RNA, 1371 nt
Filed under: uncultured bacterium
Lineage: Bacteria
Description: bacterial SSU rRNA
Rfam family: Bacterial small subunit ribosomal RNA
Source: RNAcentral